RNAcentral lists this long non-coding RNA (1074 nucleotides) under Triticum aestivum (bread wheat). Its description in RNAcentral is "long non-coding RNA (TAES_LNC022936)". The record is from RNAcentral. Lineage: Eukaryota; Viridiplantae; Streptophyta; Magnoliopsida; Poales; Poaceae.
UUUUAUUAACCUCAGCCGAAAAGUACGUUUAGCAAUUUGCCCGGCGGACGAAAACUCUGCCGAAGGAAACAUUCCGCGCCGUGCGUCCCGGGGCCACCCCAAAUACAUCGCUUCCCUGAUAAUGAUCCAUUAAUCCAAAUUGAUUCCGUGUUUAGUGGCACAGCACGGGGCUAAACGCAUCUCCCCGACUGCGCAUCGGCAUCCAUCUCCAGUUAUCCACCGCCGCGCUCGCUUGCACAACACCAGCGCCGCCAGCGCAACCUCCCUCGCGCCGCUCACCCCCGUCCCUCGCUUGUCCGGCUAUCCUGUGGCGCACGGCGACCGUCGGCGGCCCGCCCGUCCGCCUCACCGUCGGCGGCCGUCCGACCGUCUCUCCUGUGGCGCUCGGCGCCUGUCCCUGGCCCGUCCCCCACACAGCCGAUGGCGACUCCGCCGUCCUCCACACGGCCGUCAACAAAGACUACACGACGCCGCGACAACGUAGAAGCUCCUCCCUUAGCAGAUGCGUUCUUCCUCUGCGCCACCUGUGGAACAGUUCGUGCGCCCAGUGCCACCGAUUCGAUGGUCUGCAGGUAAGAACUGCUUCCUUGAGUGACUUUCGGUCCGUCCUACAACGAGGUUCUUGUUUCCUACUACUGCGUCUUGUGCAGAUCCACAAUGUUGAGGUUGCAAAACUUGCAGAUGUUUGAUCUAAGAUGCCCGACUGUACUACAUGUACAUGGAAGAAGAAAGCUCAAUGAACCGAAGCUGGGGAAAAGGAAUAACCAAGGAGGGGAGGGGAGGUCACAUCCUUGAAGCCAACGGCAAAUUAAGGCAUCACCUUGAAUUUGUAACUCCAGUAACUAAAUGGAGAUCCUUUUUUAGGUCGAACUUGUGAUCCUUCUUAUUACUGAAACCAAGUAUCAAUCUGAGAAUGAUUGUUCUCUUAUUGUGGUCUGACAAGACUUAAAUGUUGGUAUAACCUGAACAGUGUCUUAUUGCAUUAGUUUUUUUUAUAUCUGCAGAGUGUGCACAUGAGUUUCUUCCCUGUAUUUACUUAUUAACGAAACAUAAACAUCAAUGCAUGUUAUCUUC